GGCCAAUUGGUCUAGUAGUAUGAUUCCUCCUUCGGGUUGACAAACCCGCUUUCAGAUAUGGAAGCUGGAUUGGAGGAGGUCCUGGGUUCAAUUCCCAGAUUGGCCC
Molecule: non-coding RNA, 106 nt
Organism: Tephrocybe sp. NHM501043
Lineage: Eukaryota; Fungi; Basidiomycota; Agaricomycetes; Agaricales; Lyophyllaceae
Source: the annotation of a GenBank genome assembly